CGGGUGAGUAACGCGUGAGGAACCUGCCUCAAAGAGGGGGACAACAGUUGGAAACGACUGCUAAUACCGCAUAAGCCCACGGCUCGGCAUCGAGCAGAGGGAAAAGGAGUGAUCCGCUUUGAGAUGGCCUCGCGUCCGAUUAGCUGGUUGGUGAGGUAACGGCCCACCAAGGCGACGAUCGGUAGCCGGGCUGAGAGGUUGAACGGCCACAUUGGGACUGAGACACGGCCCAG
This 233-nucleotide ribosomal RNA is filed under the name uncultured bacterium. RNAcentral describes it as "partial 16S ribosomal RNA". It matches the Rfam family "Bacterial small subunit ribosomal RNA", at positions 103 to 334 of the family's 1533-position model. The record is from RNAcentral.